AGGACGAACGCUGGCGGCGUGCUUAACACAUGCAAGUCGAGCGGUAAGGCCUUUCGGGGUACACGAGCGGCGAACGGGUGAGUAACACGUGGGUGAUCUGCCCUGCACUCUGGGAUAAGCCUGGGAAACUGGGUCUAAUACCGGAUAUGACCUGCUCUCGCAGUGGGGGGUGGUAGGAAAGAUUUUAGUCGGUGCGAGGAGUGGGCCCCGCGGCCUAUCAGUCUUUGGUUGGUGGGGUAAUCGGCCUACCAAGGCGACGGACGGGUAGCCGACCUGAGAGGGUGACCGGCACACGUGGGACUGAGACACGGCCCAGACCUCCGUAGUGGGAGCAGCAGGUGGGAAU
RNAcentral lists this ribosomal RNA (346 nucleotides) under uncultured soil bacterium. Its description in RNAcentral is "bacterial SSU rRNA". It matches the Rfam family "Bacterial small subunit ribosomal RNA", at positions 26 to 362 of the family's 1533-position model. The record is from RNAcentral.